Molecule: small nucleolar RNA, 128 nt
Organism: Balaenoptera musculus (blue whale)
Lineage: Eukaryota; Metazoa; Chordata; Mammalia; Artiodactyla; Balaenopteridae
Source: Ensembl
ACAUCUGUGAGUCAAGAAAAGAGAGUAUUAAUUUGGACACGUAAGAAUUGGAGGCAAAGAAAUGUGGACUUGGAGAAGUCUGGGGCCAGCUUGUUCCCUGCAGGCUCAAGAUCAACCAUCCCACAUUA